Long non-coding RNA from Brassica rapa (field mustard), 7453 nucleotides. RefSeq lists it as uncharacterized. Lineage: Eukaryota; Viridiplantae; Streptophyta; Magnoliopsida; Brassicales; Brassicaceae. The record is from RefSeq and is a predicted model, not a curated record.
AAAGAAAAAUUCUCAUGUAGCUUCAUCACUCGGCUCGUUAACCCACUUCACCAGCACCAUAGUAGUAGGACGGUGCUGACGACGAACCAUCUUCCUUUCCAAAAUGCUCUCAGGUUCCUUAGAGAUCACGUCUUGACCGCUUUUGGUAACUCAGUAGAAACCAGCACAUUACCUACCACCUCAUUCAGUUGUGAAACAUGGAAAGCAUAGUGUAUCCUUGAUGAAGUAGGUAACCUCAAUUUAUACGCCACCUUCCCACAGAGAUCAACAAAUCUCAUAAGGCUCAUAAUACUUCGGAGACAACUUUUCAAUAGAACGAUACACCAUUGACUGUUGCCUACAGGGCUGCAGCUUAACAAAGAUAGAAUCACCAACGUUAAAGCUUCUUUCCAUUCGAUGCUCGUCAGCCACUUGUUUCAUACGAUGUUGAGCUCGCAUCAGAUGAAACUUCAACAACAAAACCAUCUUCUCGCGCUCCUCCAAUGAUCUAGCCACGACAUCAACUUUUGUUUCUUCUGGAAGGUAUGCAAAUGUUGAGGUUGAGGCUGACCAUAAACUUCUUUAAAAGGGGUCAUUUGGAUUGAAGUAUGAAAGUUGGAAUUGUAUCAGAACUCAACUAAAGCCAACCAUUUGCUCCACAUAUGCGGUUUGUCACUACACAUACAUCUCAAAUAUGUUUCAGACAUAUGUUUACUACCUCUAUUUGCCCAUCACUUUGAGGGUGGUAAGCAUUUGAGAAGUUAAGAGCCACUCCUUGCAGACUAAACAACUCACGCCAAAAUUCGCUUAAGAAACACUGUCACGGUCACUAACAAUGGAUCUCAGAAACUCAUGAUGCUUGAAUACAUUAUCCAAGAAGGAAUAAGCUACCGAUGAAGCAGAGUAAGGGUGUGACAAGGCAACAAAGUGAGCUGCUUUGGUUAAUCUGUCUACAACCACCAAUAUCACUGAUUUUCCCGAAGACUUAGGGAGGCCAUCAAUAAAAUCUAUAGAGAUAUCUGUCCACACAGCUUCAGGUAUUGGUAAGGGUUGAAGUAAACCAGAAGAUGUCGUGGUGUCAUACUUACAGCACUGACAAGUAUCACAGCCACGAAUGAAUCUUUGAACAUCAAGUGCCAUUCCCUUCCAAUAAAAGAGACCUUUCACUCGUUAGUUAAUGACGUCUCUCCCGGAAUGACCACCAGCACUUGAAUUAUGCAGCCACUCUAAGAUUGCCUGCUUAAUCAACGGAUCAUCAGAAAUGACAAUCUUAUUCUUCCUACGCAACACUUCUUGAGACCAUGAAUAAUGUUUCUUAGACAAUGGUUUUUUCUUCAAACUCGCAAUCAACUCCUUUACUUUGUUAUCUUUAUCAUAGGUCUCAUGUAUUUGUUUCAGCAGAUCACAUUCCAACACAAAUAAGGCCAUAUGCAACACUUCAGCUCCAUCCAUUCUAGAUAAGGCGUCAUCAGCAAGAUUCUCCUUUUCCUGCUUGUAUUGGAUCUCAUAAUCAAACUCGAAGAGUUUGGGGAGCCACUUCUGUUGAAUAAGAGUGUUCAGACGCUGCUCCAAGAGAUACUUCAAACUCAUUUGAUCGGUUUUGAUAAUAAAUAUCAUACGAAAAGGUAAUGUCUCCACUUCUGAACAUCAAACACUACAGCAAUUAGUUCCUUCUCGUAAAUAGAAAGACGAAGUUGCUUCCCCUUCAAAUGUCUACUUAUAUAUGCCAAAGUGUGACCAUUUUGCAUCAAAAUCGUGCCGCUACCUUGACCACAAGCAUUAGUCUCCACCACAAACGGUUGAUCAAACCGUGGUAAAGCUAAUAUAUGUGUCUCAAAAAGCGCCUUCCUCAACUCAACAAAUGCAAGCUUUGCUUCAGCUGACCAUUGUAAACAUUCUUUAUUCGUUAAAGCCGUUAAUGGUCUGGCAAUCACUCCAAAAUCCUUCACAAACCUCCUAUAAUAACCAGCCAAUCCCAAAAACCCUCUCAAAUGUUUCAAAUUCUCAGGAAUCUUCCACUCUGCAACAGCUUUCACCUUCUCUGGAUCCGUUGACACCCCUUCUGCUUGGAUAAAAUGUCCAAGAUAUUUAACCCGUUUAGUAGCAAAGUCACACUUGCUACGCUUAGCAAAGAGGUUGUUCUGUCGCAUCAACUCAAAAACUCUGCGAAGAUAACCCAAGUGUUGCUCAAGGGUAGAGCUGUACACUAAGAUGUCAUAAAAAAAAUAUCAGAACACCCUUCCUCAAAAGCUCCUUAAAGACUGAGUUCAUUAAGCCUUGAAAGGUUGCUGGAGCGUUUGUAAGUCCAAAGGGCAUGACUGUGUAAACAUAGUGACCACUAUGAGUUUUAAACACAGUCUUAUGCACAUCUGGAGGAGACAUACACACUUGAUGAUAACCAUCGCGAAGGUCUAUCUUCGAAUAAAUCCGGGAACCACCCAACUCGUCCAUCAAAUCAUCAAUUAGAGGAAUAUGAAAUUUAUCUUUCAUAGUUGUGUUGUUAAAUCCCCUAUAAUCCACACAUAACUUCCAUGAACCAUCUUUCUUCUUAACCAGCACCACUAGAGAAGCAUAUGGACCAUAGUUUGCUUGUAUGGUACCCGCUGAGAGAAACUCUUGAACCAUCUUAUCAAUUUCAUUCUUUUGGUGUACUGCAUAGCAAUAAGACCUUUGGUUCACUUGAAUAGCACCUUCUAUCAGUGGUAUCCUAUGAUCAUGAUGACCUCUCAAUGGUGGUAAAGCUAUAGGUUCAUCAAAAAUAUAUUUAUACUUCUCAAUUAGUUUUUCCACUUCCAUCGCUAGUUCUUCAGAUCUUGUCUUAACAACUGCAGAGCACAACUGCACCUCUGUUUGCUCUGUCAACAUCUGUGUAGAAAUCGUUGACAAUUGUACUGAAUCUUCUUGAUGUUUGUUCAACUUAGCAGCUUUCACCUCCCGUAUAGAUCUUUCUCUGAUCCCAUGUAACAAGACUUUACGGCGAUCCAUUUUGAAUAACAUUGUCAAGUUUUAAAAGUCCCAAGUUAUUGGUCCCCAUUGCUGCAACCACUGAACACCCGAAACCAUAUCACAACCUCCCAAAGGAAUCAGCAUGAAAUCAAUUGUAAAAGUAAUACUGUGAAAGUUCGACUCUAACCCCUCCACAAAUGCUGACACGCCCAACUUAUGACCAUCUGCUACUGUCACUUUUGUUAAACCAGCUGGCUUAAGUGUGCAUUUCAACUUCUCAGCCACACUCUUGUCAAGAAAGUUGUGUGUUGAACCCGUGUCAAUGAGUAUGAAAAGUGAUAUUUUCCCAUGUGUUCAUUUAACUUUCAUCGUCUUGUAAUCAGAAAUGCCAUCAAUAGCAUUAACCGAAAUUUGAGCUACUUCACCUCCAUCUUCCAUUCCCAACUCCUCCUCCUCAUCAUUAAUCUCAUCAUCCUCUUCCACUUCAAUCAUGAACAACUGUGACUUCUUAUGCUUGAGAUAAUGACCAUGAAUAAACUUCUCAUCACAAAAGUAACAGAGUCCUUCAGCUCUUCUUCUACUCAUUUCUUCUUAUGAUAGAAACUUUCGUGGUUGAUUCUCUAAUGGUUUGUCUUUGUUAACUAUCAAACCCCCUUUGUAGUCAACCUCCUUCUUAUAUGGUAACACGGCCUUUGUUGCUACUGAUUGUUUAGUCUGCGACCAAACUGGUGGUGUAGCUUUCCUCGGAUGUGCCAUCUCAUAGAGUUUCCCAAGCAUCAAACAUUGGCGUACCGAUUGAGACUGAAACAUCCUUAUAUGCAUCCGAGUGUCCAUUCUCAGGCCUCAAAGAUAAGCACUGACCAAAUACUCCUCUGAAAGCUUAACUCUUGUUUUAAUCAACUCAAAUUUCCCAUGAUAAUCCACAAUACCAUCCGUCUCUUGUAACUUCUUAAGCUCAACAAUUGGAUCGUCAAACAAUUCUUCGAACCUCUCCACCAGUAGCGACUUAUACAAUGGCCAGUUGAACAAUAAAUUUUGAUUCUCUUCUUCUUGAACUACAGACUGAUGCCAUGUUGCAGCAACCAUCAAAAUAAAUCGAAGCCAAUCCUGCCUUCAUAUUCUCCGGCGUAUUAUCCAUCAUAAAUAAUUGCUCAACCUUAACUAUCCAUUCCUUCAUCUUUUUGCCGUUGAAUCUAGGAAAAUCAAGUUUCGUGAGGCGAGUCAUGCCUGAAUAGUUAUGUGGAAUACAUGAUCGUCCUCUCCCUAGAUCAGCUUGAUUCUCUUGAAUCGUUGGAGAAGUUGAAUGAAUCUGCGACGUUCGUCUGAUAUUAACGUCAUCACUCGUCAAAGCUUGAUUCUGUUGCAUUGAUAUCAAACGAAUCGCUACGAACAUCUCCGCGAAAAUUUUCUCCAUCUUCGUAUUCUAAUCCAGAAUCUUUGCAUUCUGAUCAGCUACCGUCGUCUCCAACAACUGCGUACGAUCGAGAACUUGAUCGAUCUUCGAUCCCAAGCUUCAUUCCACUUCUCGAAUCAUAGCUUCCUUCAACAACGCCUGCGAUCUAGUCUCCGCCAUCGAUGAUUCCAAUGAAAGAUCGAGCUUUGAUACCUUUAAUACCGUAAAAUAAUAUUCGAUUUGAAACAAGUAACAACAAAUCCAAUGUUCAUAAAACACCGAUUUGACUCACAAUGAUAAACUCCGACUACAAGUACGAAGCUCAAUAAACUGAGAUUUUCUGGAAAAGUUCUAGAGAAAAAUGAGAAGAAGAGAAAAUGCAACAAUAUUUUUCUGAUAUUUUCCUAACAAAAUUUGCUCUGUUUAUAAACAGAGUCAACCUAUUCAGUUACGCAGUUGACCCGAAAGAUCACGUGGAUUGCUGACUCAGCAUCCUCCUUUUAUUCUUCAUUUUAACUAUAUCACAAGGUAACAAAGUCAAAACCUAAAACAACGAGAGGUUUAGUAGCAAAAGACUACAGUCAGUCAAGCGAACAAGCAACGAAGAGGAUUUAACAGAAACAAAACUCACUUGAACUUCUUGUCUAUGAUGAAAAGCCAAGAAGCAAGUCGAAUAGCACCACACACACUGACUGACCCACAGCAAACCCGAAACAUGGAACCAAGAACUGAAACAUCCGGGACAACCCCUCUACACAAUUGCAUCUUCAUCCGAUUGAACCAAAACUUCAACCUCAUCAUAUUGUUUCAAAAUCUAAGAAGAAGCCACUAAGAAAUUAUGAGAUCAGCUAACAACGAGAAAUAAAACGAACUCUUAUGAGCUCUAUUUAAAUCAAAAUUUGAUUUUGUUGAUUUUAAAAAACAUUAUAGCAAAAUCAUAACAAAUCUCAUAAAAAUAUACAUGCCCAUUAAGUUUGGAUGAAAAUACUCAUAUAUUAACACUAUACUAUUGAAUAUGAAUGUAAACAUAGCAUCAGGAUGCAAAAUCCCAAUAUAAAAUUUUUAAAUAUUUAAGAUAUUAAAAAAUAAUAGAGUCUAAAUGUAAAAUUUACAUUUCAAAAUCCAAAAGAUUUAAAUACCACUAAAUACAAUAUACAAUAACUAGUUUUAUUAUAUUUAUUAUUUCUUAUUGACCUAAGAAUAUUCCGAAUUUGUAGAAAUAUCGACUCUAAGAGAGAGAUGCAGCUCACAGAUGGACUUUCUUUCCGGAUAUUCAAAUGAUGUUCAAAGCAUGGGCAUAUUCAAAUGAUGUUCAAAGCAUGGGCAUAUGACCAUACAUGUUGUAUUCUCAGAAUUAUAUCUUUUGAUAACUGAACGAAUCAGCUUUACAAAUAAAUUAAUUUUAGGUUUCUAAUUUUCUGAUAUUCAGAUAUAUCAUAAUUUAUACAUUAUUUUUUUAAAUAGUAUUUGGUUAUUCUACUGAUAUUUAGGGAAAGUUUCUAACAAUAUUGGAAUACCACACUGGAAUUGAUACAACUACAGGCUUCGAAGUUCGUUUCUAGUUAAACAUAAACCUUAUAUUUUGCCUUCGUUAUCCUAUAUAACAUUAAUAAUUAUGUGAAAUUUAUUAAUAAAUUAUAUAUAGGUCACAUUUUUAGAGUUUUAAAGAGAAAAAGAUAAAAAAAAUAUUAAAAACAUUAUUUGCAAAGUAUAAAAAAUCUUUGUGACUUCAUUUCGUUCCAUAGAAAUUAAAAAUCAAAUAAUUAAGGAAAUGUAUCUUUUCUUACAACAUAUAUGAUAAUAUAAUAUAUUUUCAAUAAAAUUGUUGUUCAUAUUCCAAAUUGGAACAUUUAUGGUAUUAUAUAUUGGUAAAUAUGUAUAUAUUAAGGAUAUUUGACCAAGAACAACAUCAAUAUAAAUAUACAUUCAUUUAAUGUUGUUGACUGACUUGAUUCAUCAAAUCUAUAAAUGUGCCAAAAUUUAUAAAAAAGUGAAAACAAAAUUUUAAAUAUCUUUCAAGAUUUAGAUUCACCAAAGAAAAAAUGGCUUCCUUAAGUGAUGAAAUUUUCGAUGUUAUUGGUGAACUCAUCCUUAUGAAGGAAGAAUCAAAAGAAGAUGAAGAGCACGUGAGGGGUUUGGAGAAAACUUUAAUUGAAUACCUUGAUGAAAACAAGAUUAUUUUGGACAGCCAACAUUUUGAAGCAAUCCGACAUUUAAAUAUAGAUAGAUUAAUUGAGUCUCAGCUGAAAAUCAUAGAUAAUUGUAUUGAAGAGAACAAUAAGCUUAUUGAAGCGAUGAAGGCUUGCCCAGGGGAGGAUUGCCCGUGUAGCUGCCACAGUCUUACCAAUAAAAAAACCAAUAAUUAAUAUAUGAACAUCAUUACCAUGUAGUAUCAUAUAUGAUCAAAUGUACUUUGCUUAUACAUCUAAAGCUUUGAUGGAAUAAUAAAUGAAAUCCAAAUAUGUUUUUUGUGCAUCUAUAUACAACUGAUAUUCUCAUAAUUAAAUAUAAUUGGCUUACUAAAUUGUUUUACCAAUUGGAAUAUUGGAAUAACUAAAAAUAAGUGAAAUGUUUAUUUUCUACAAAAAUCUAAUACCCAAAAAUAUGUAGAAUGAUUUUAAACCUAUGUAAAAAACAGUACCUAAUUUAUCUAAAUUUAGGAUUGGCAUGUGCUAAGCUGAAUGCAUGCGAUUUCCCCGGAUCUAGUGUCGAAUUAGUUAAUCAAGGACUAUAGGGUUUUAUUAAGAAAUGAUCAUGGUCAAAUACAAAAUUAACUUUUUUUAUUUUGUUUUGCCAUAUUCUAAAAGUUUAAUUAAUUACAAAAUAUCAUUUUUUUUUUGUCAUUCGAUUUAUGUUACUUUGGUACGGUUCUCAGAGUUUUUCUGCCUCCACGAUUAUUAAGAAAUUAGACUUUUAUUUUAUGUACAUUUUGUUGUAGAUUAGAUGAAUUGCACUUGUGGUUCGCCGAGUUCUUUCAUUACUUCGCACGAGAAUUAAACAAGGGAUACAUCUUUGCCUUUCCUCGAGUCAGGGCUUGUGUUGACAUGAGCAUAGACGACGCAAGAGAACAUGAAUAUGCGUAUAUAUGUAAUGAUUAUAAACUUAUUUUGUUGAUUGUUAUUAUGGAAAUAUAAU